Long non-coding RNA from Corvus hawaiiensis (hawaiian crow), 2709 nucleotides. RefSeq lists it as uncharacterized. Lineage: Eukaryota; Metazoa; Chordata; Aves; Passeriformes; Corvidae. The record is from RefSeq and is a predicted model, not a curated record. The transcript is spliced from 3 exons.
UUGAAGAAAUAAUUCUGUCUUAGGGUUCCUACAUGUCUUUUAUAUUUCCAACCAUCAGUGCACUUUCAGGGAACCACAGAUUUAUUUUAUGGAUAGAGCGGGAGGAACAGGGAGUCCUGUUACUGAGCAGGUGUGGUGGCAGAUUAGUGAGGGAUCUAUUGCUCAGUUUAAUUCCAGCAGCACUCCUCUCUGAACCAUCAGCUACUAUCUGUUUCUGUCCUUUCCAUCUCCAUUCAUGCCCACCUGUAAAGCAACGUUAGUAUUUUUUUCUUAGACGUGUAGGUACUUUGGGAGCGUUAUCAUGAAAAAUGGAUGAAACAUUAGACCAAUUGUAUGAUCAAAGGUAAGAGCUUCAGAGAUAAAGUUUCUUGCCUGCACACAUGCAUUUUUGGGAAUAAAGGCCUGGCUGAAUAUCCUAUUGCUUACUAGCAAAUGUUUUGCCUCAAUGUCAAUGCCAGAAUUUUAAUUGCCUUUCUCUCUGACAUUAGAUAUGUAGUCUAAGAAACUGAUGUUGCACUGCAGCUGGAGGCUGACAUGAGACUGAAGUGACACAUCCUUUGCCGUGGAAUAUUUGUCUCCAGCUGUUCCUUCGUGGGGUGGGUUACGGAGACUGCACCUGUGUGCGCUGGGGUAGCAGCAGCCUGGGAGGAUUCCCUGCCAUAACAUUUGUCUGUGAAACACAUACUUUCUCCCUGAGGAAAUUGGCUUAUGUCAACAAAAACGGAAACUUCAAAAAAUCUGCGUAGUGCUGGGAAAAGCUAAGUAUCUUUGCUCUUAAAUGUGUGGGGUGAUUAAUUUUGUGUGCCAUAUUCCUCACACACACAUUCUUCUUCUUUUGCCAAAAGCUGAAUGUAAUUGGCAGUCUAUGAAUGUCCAUAGUUGCCAGACAGCUUAAAAUUGAAACACUGUGAAAUGCAAACAAAUGGAAAUGUUUCUCUCUUGUGUAAAUAUGCAAGAAUUAUUAAGCAUUAAAUACCGCCUGCAAAGAGAAUCAUUUAAGAUGGUCAAAGAUGAACCCGAGUUUGUUCUUGUGUACACACCUGGAGUAGGAGUCGGGUUCAAGUGGCCUGGACAAGAGGAUUCUGCCCUACAAACUGAAUUUGCACCCCCUUUUUUGGUUAGUGAUGCAGCAGCUUCCUAAAAUAGCUGUAGUAAGAUGUAAUCCUUCACACAGAUACCCUCACAUGAGAGUAACUUAUAUUCAUAUAACUUACAUUUUUUCCAGAUGGAAGUAAAUCACAUUGAUCUGAAAUACUAUUUCUGUUGAUGUAGAUGUGUCCACACUGGGAAAGGUGAGGCUUAGCUAGGUAGGCAGAACACAAGCAGCUUGUGUAUACCAAGAAGCUCCUGGAUGAGUGGGGACAUAAUGAGUCCUGCUGGUAUUCUUAUUGUCAGGGCAUUGGUGGCCUGCUUCAGUGAAGGAAAAUUACUUGUAUGCACCUUUGUUUGUUCUCUCACUCCCUUGCAUUUUCUUUUUUUUAUUUUCAGAUACACCUUAGCUACAACAGGGCAAAGUGCAAAGGAGCUUCAGAAGCUCAGGCAAUGAGGAAUCUGUUGGUAUCUUUGCUGAAAGUCUGCCAGCACAGGGAAAAGAUACACUCUUCCCUCGCUAUCGGUUCCACAGUCCAGAGAGUCACCACGCCUUUCCCUGACAAUCUACUUCUGGUCACUAAGGGAAGCUGGAUGAUCAUUUCAGUGAGUAUUUCUUCAUCCCAAAAUGCUGGGUGAUGGGUUACUUGCUUUGUCCUUUUGAUCUCAUGCUUUAGAUCUGGGUGGUAAAUCUCAUUAUUAUGGUGCCAGGGGAUGGGGAUGGAGAUGCUGUUUUGCCUGAAAGUAUGGGUGAGCAGCCAUUCCCCAAAAUGGCUAUACUGAUAAACACACAACAUCACAAUUAGCAGUACAUAUGCCACCCCAACUGCAGUGAUAUAUGUGUAUCCUCAACCUUCCACAGCUGGCUUGGCCACUGAGGAGAGCGCUGUGGCUCCCGGAAUCCCCAGGUAGCGGCCACUUCACUUGCCAUUCACUGCCUCUUCGUUGCAAAUGUUUUGCAGAGUCACAGAAUAGUUGAGGAUGGAAGAGAACCAAUUCUCCACCUCCCUGGGUGUCUCCAAAAGCCCCACUUGGAGCUGGGGAGCCUUUAGGCUUCCACUGAACUCCAGCAUAAGGUGUCUCCUUUUGAAGGGUAAAAGUAGAGACAAACAUGCCCCAGACCAGACCUCCCACUCAUACUUAACUUUGACAGUCACACAGAAUGGAUGAAAGGCUGUAUAGAUCCUGGCGGUCACCCUUCAAAUUAGCAAGUGUCUCUGAAAGUUUUCCCUUGUAGGAAACCUCUCCACAAGCCUGGUCUUUCCACCCCACCACCACUACUUCCCUGAGCUGCUGAUGGAUGCCUUGGACUCUGAACAAACCUUCUGCCCUGGGUAUCUCUUGUGCUUUCACUUUGAUUUCUCUCCUGUGAAAUGUUGGCACAUUAGAAGAACCAGAACACAUUACAGGCUCUCAUUUUCUGUGUGCUUUUAGGAAAUGUACAACCAGUUGAUAGCACUGCUAAAACGCAUGUAAUAAUGUCACAAGAACCUCUCUCCGCAGGCUGGAAUUUCUUUCCUUUGUGUUUUCAACUAAUUAUCAAAUGAAGCAGGACUCUGAAUGGCUAAAUUAGUACUGUGCUCUGCUUUGUUUUACCCUUCCUGUAAUUUAGAGGACAUA